GGUGAGGUAACGGCCCACCAAGGCAAUGAUGGGUAGCCGGCCUGAGAGGGUGAACGGCCACAAGGGGACUGAGACACGGCCCUUACUCCUACGGGAGGCAGCAGUGGGGAAUAUUGGACAAUGGACCACAAGUCUGAUCCAGCAAUUCUGUGUGCACGAUGACGUUUUUCGGAAUGUAAAGUGCUUUCAGUCGGGAAGAAGUCAGUGACGGUACCGACAGAAGAAGCGACGGCUAAAUACGUGCCAGCAGCCGCG
Molecule: ribosomal RNA, 255 nt
Filed under: Fusobacterium necrophorum
Lineage: Bacteria; Fusobacteriati; Fusobacteriota; Fusobacteriia; Fusobacteriales; Fusobacteriaceae
Description: partial 16S ribosomal RNA
Rfam family: Bacterial small subunit ribosomal RNA
Source: RNAcentral